UGGGGAAUCUUCCGCAAUGGACGAAAGUCUGACGGAGCAACGCCGCGUGUAUGAUGAAGGUCUUCGGAUUGUAAAGUACUGUCAUUGGGGAAGAACGGUUUUCUUGAAAAGAUUGAGAAGACAUGACGGUACCCAAGGAGGAAGCCCCGGCUAACUACGUGCCAGCAGCCGCGGUAAUACGUAGGGGGCAAGCGUUGUCCGGAAUUAUUGGGCGUAAAGGGCGCGUAGGCGGGCCUUUAAGUCCGGUGUGAAAGAUCAGGGCUCAACCCUGAGAGUGCAUCGGAAACUGGAGGCCUUGAGGACAGGAGAGGAAAGUGGAAUUCCACGUGUAGCGGUGAAAUGCGUAGAUAUGUGGAGGAACACCAGUGGCGAAGGCGACUUUCUGGACUGUAACUGACGCUGAGGCGCGAAAGCGUGGGGAGCAAACAGGAUUAGAUACCCUGGUAGUCCACGCCGUAAACGAUGAGUGCUAGGUGUAGAGGGUAUCGACCCCUUCUGUGCCGCAGUUAACACAAUAAGCACUCCGCCUGGGGAGUACGCCGCAAGGUUGAAACUUGAAAUGAAUUGACGGGGUCAUAGCUGUUUCCU
RNAcentral lists this ribosomal RNA (588 nucleotides) under uncultured bacterium. RNAcentral's name for it is "partial 16S ribosomal RNA". It matches the Rfam family "Bacterial small subunit ribosomal RNA", at positions 355 to 1375 of the family's 1533-position model. The record is from RNAcentral.